CGCCAGACUCCUACGGGAGGCAGCAGUGGGGAAUAUUGCACAAUGGGCGAAAGCCUGAUGCAGCAACGCCGCGUGAAGGAAGAAGGGUUUCGGCUCGUAAACUUCUAUCAACAGGGACGAAAGAAAUGACGGUACCUGACCAAGAAGCCCCGGCUAACUACGUGCCAGCAGCCGCGGUAAUACGUAGGGGGCGGGCGUUAUCCGGAUUCACUGGGCGUAAAGGGAGCGCAGGCGGCACGGCAAGUCCGGUGUGAAAGCCCGGGGCCCAACCCCGGGACUGCACUGGAAACUGUGCGGCUUGAGUGCGGGAGGGGCAGGCGGAAUUCCUAGUGUAGCGGUGAAAUGCGUAGAUAUUAGGAGGAACACCGGCGGCGAAGGCGGCCUGCUGGACCGUAACUGACGUUGAGGCUCGAAAGCGUGGGGAGCAAACAGGAUUAGAUACCCUAGUA
This 449-nucleotide ribosomal RNA is filed under the name uncultured bacterium. Its description in RNAcentral is "bacterial SSU rRNA". It matches the Rfam family "Bacterial small subunit ribosomal RNA", at positions 329 to 792 of the family's 1533-position model. The record is from RNAcentral.